GUGCACGCUGGCGGUAGGCCUAACACAUGCAAGUCGAACGGCAGCACAGUAAGAGCUUGCUCUUACGGGUGGCGAGUGGCGGACGGGUGAGGAAUACAUCGGAAUCUACUUUUUCGUGGGGGAUAACGUAGGGAAACUUACGCUAAUGCCGCAUACGACCUACGGGUGAAAGCAGGGGAUCUUCGGACCUUGCGCGAUUGAAUGAGCCGAUGUCGGAUUAGCUAGUUGGCGGGGUAAAGGCCCACCAAGGCGACGAUCCGUAGCUGGUCUGAGAGGAUGAUCAGCCACACUGGAACUGAGACACGGUCCAGACUCCUACGGGAGGCAGCAGUGGGGAAUAUUGGACAAUGGGCGCAAGCCUGAUCCAGCCAUACCGCGUGGGUGAAGAAGGCCUUCGGGUUGUAAAGCCCUUUUGUUGGGAAAGAAAAGCAGCAGGUUAAUACCCCGCUGUUCUGACGGUACCCAAAGAAUAAGCACCGGCUAACUUCGUG
This 491-nucleotide ribosomal RNA is filed under the name uncultured bacterium. Its description in RNAcentral is "partial 16S ribosomal RNA". It matches the Rfam family "Bacterial small subunit ribosomal RNA", at positions 29 to 507 of the family's 1533-position model. The record is from RNAcentral.